ACGGGUGAGUAACACGUGGGUAACCUGCCCAUAAGACUGGGAUAACUGCGGGAAACCGUGGGUAAUGCCGGAUAACAUUGUGAACCUCAUGGUUCGAAAUUGAAGGGCGGCUUCGGCUGUCACUUAUGGAUGGACCCGCGUUGCAUUAGCUAGUUGGUGAGGUAACGGCUCACCAAGGCAACGAUGCGUAGCCGACCUGAGAGGGUGAUCGGCCACACUGGGAAUGAGACACGGCCCAGACUCCUACGGGAGGCAGCAGUAGGGAAUCUUCCGCAAUGGACGAAAGUCUGACGGAGCAACGCCGCGUGAGUGAUGAAGGCUUUCGGGUCGUAAAACUCUGUUGUUAGGGAAGAACAAGUGCUAGUUGAAUAAGCUGGCACCUUGACGGUACCUAACCAGAAAGCCACGGCUAACUACGUGCCAGCAGCCGCGGUAAUACGUAGGUGGCAAGCGUUAUCCGGAAUUAUUGGGCGUAAAGCGCGCGCAGGUGGUUUCUUAAGUCUGAUGUGAAAGCCCACGGCUCAACCGUGGAGGGUCAUUGGAAACUGGGAGACUUGAGUGCAGAAGAGGAAAGUGGAAUUCCAUGUGUAGCGGUGAAAUGCGUAGAGAUAUGGAGGAACACCAGUGGCGAAGGCGACUUUCUGGUCUGUAACUGACACUGAGGCGCGAAAGCGUGGGGAGCAAACAGGAUUAGAUACCCUGGUAGUCCACGCCGUAAACGAUGAGUGCUAAGUGUUAGAGGGUUUCCGCCCUUUAGUGCUGAAGUUAACGCAUAAGCA
This 779-nucleotide ribosomal RNA is filed under the name Bacillus cereus. Its description in RNAcentral is "bacterial SSU rRNA". It matches the Rfam family "Bacterial small subunit ribosomal RNA", at positions 102 to 866 of the family's 1533-position model. Lineage: Bacteria; Bacillati; Bacillota; Bacilli; Caryophanales; Bacillaceae. The record is from RNAcentral.